UUAUCAAAAAUAGAUAAUAGUUUUUAUUCUCGGAGCGCGCUGCCAUGUAACCACGAAUAACAGUUUAUAUACAAAAUAUGACGUCAUUGGUGAAUGAAUCUCCUCCUCCCGACCGAGACAAAGCAAGUUUAAAAGUUCAUUCCGUCUCACUAGCGCACACACAGGACACACUAUAUAACUGAAUUAACUCUUGACCCCUCACCAUUAUCGAUCACCACUUAGCUGACAGUUCUAGUUAACAGAAAACCUAGGAAUGCACUCACUGCCUUAUCUAAAACACCCCAGAGCUAAAUUUCGUCUGUUCAACCAUAGUUUAAAGACCUUUUCUCCUCACUUAAAAACCCUCACUCCUAAUCUCCUCCAACCUGGCUGGAAUGGUAUUUAUUUAAAUGUAAUUACCCCCUGUUUCAGGCUCCACAAUCCCUCACUUAUGAACUCAUAUUGUUAAUCAAAUAUAAUAAAACAGGGUAUAGUUUACUUAGUUACAGUUUCAUUUAAAAUGGGGAUAUUGUUUAGUCAUUUAUUCAUAAAAUUCCUAACAACCAACCAAAUCAUAAGUUCUGUAUGAGAAAUAACAGCCUUUAAAAUGACUCAAUAACAUACAACAUUUUAACACAAUUCUGAUCUUUUAUCAUUUAUAAAAUCAGAACAAGAAACUGACAAGAAUUGAUGUAUAAAUAAAAAUAAAUAAACCAUUCCUUCGCUGAUAUAUUAUUAGAAUAUCAUCAUUAAACAGUGAUCAUAAAUAAACGGAUCUGAAGACGGGGUAGUUCUAGCCUGGUUACACAAGACAUAACGCUGUACUCACCAUUGUCCAUACGGUAAGGUGUUUAUUUAGUCUGUUUUAACCAGGCUAGGAUAGGUCAUGUGUAGACUACUGUCAGGAUAUAUUGAGCAGCAGUGAGUUGAUAUGUUCCCUUUAGGCCUGAAUUCUGACAAGGUUUGGCUCAAUUCCUUUUCAAUUCAGCAGGUAAACCGACAUGUAAAUUCCAUUACUUAAUAAUUAGAAUUGGGAUUGGGAUUUCAGUUUACUUCCUGAAUUGGCUGAAUUGAAAUGGAAUUGGCCCUAACUCUGAACCAAGUAAUGAUGUAAAUGAAGAUAUACAUGAACAUUUGAGUUACAAGCAUAGAUCUUAUGGACUUUUGGCCCGUAGCGUUUCAAAAGCAUAGUUUAGGUCUACAGAAUAAACACAUGAAUACAUUCAAUGGAGACAUCUCAGGUGCUCCACUUAUCAAUGCAACCAAUCUCACCCUAAGUACAUACAUUAACUGAGACAAUCAUGUCUUAAACCCAUGAUAGGAUUCACAAAACUGUUUGAACAAGGUCACAUUCAGCAGGCAGGCACCUCAAUGGGAUGAAAUGCUGUGAAACAGAAAAGAUGCUACCUCAAUCUGUCAUUUGCAUUUGACAAAAUGUUUUCUCCCACAUUUACACUGCUGAACAUAACCCUGGUUUCAGUCGACUAAACACGGCUCUCGAGGGGCGCAGCGGUCUAAGGCAAUGCAUCUCAGUGCAGAGAGGUGUCACUACAUUCCCUGGUUUGAAUCCAGGCUGUAUCACAUCCGGCUGUAAUUGGGAGUCCCAUAGGGUAGCGCACAAUUGGCCCAGCGUUGUCCAGGUUUGGCCGGGGUAGGCCGUAAUUGUAAAUAACAAUUUGUCCUUAACCAACUUGCUAGUUAAAUAAAGGUUCAAUAAAAAAACGAUUGCAUAAAGUUUCCUAGUGCCAAAAUAACACAUCUUGUACAAAAGACCAUAGAGAAUAAAGUCUGAGCAUCGAUGAGAUUGACUUAAGAGGUAAAGGCUAAGGGCUUAGCUACCGUGCCAUGGGUGGGCUGGGAGAAAUCAUUGGUAAACAUUCCCUUAGGAGAGAUGUGCAUUGGGACAGAGCAUCAGUGCUCCAAAGAGAGUAUGGCCUCAUCUUUUUAUAGCCCUGUAACAUACAUGUAAGUCCUGUGUUGCUUGGCCUUGUAAGUCCUGUGUUGCUUGGCCUUGUAAGUCCUGUGUUGCUUGGCCUUGUAAGUCCUGUGUUGCUUGGCCUUGUAAGUCCUGUGUUGCUUGGCCUUGUAAGUCCUGUGUUGCUUGGCCUUGUAAGUCCUGUGUUGCUUGGCCUUGUAAGUCCUGUGUUGCUUGGCCUUGUAAGUCCUGUGUUGCCUUGUAAGUCCUGUGUUGCUUGGCCUUGUAAGUCCUGUGUUGCUUGGCCUUGUAAGUCCUGUGUUGCUUGGCCUUGUAAGUCCUGUGUUGCUUGAACCAAAUAUCUCCAAUUUGGACUCCAGACCAAAGGACAAAUUUAUACCAGUCUAAUGUUCAAUGCUCAUAUUUCUUGGCCCAAGCAAGUCUCUUCUUCUUAUUGGUGUCCUUUACUAGUGGUUUCUUUCAGCAAUUCAACCAUGAAGGCCUGAAUCACAGUCUCCUCUGAACAGUUGAUGUUGAGAUGUGUCUGUUACUUGUACUCUGUGAAGCAUUUAUUUGGGCUGCAAUUUCUGAGGCUUGUAACUCAAAUGAACUUUUCUUCUGCAGCAGAGGUAACUCUGGGUCUUACAUUCCUGAGGUGGUCCUCAUGAGAGCCAGUUUCAUCAUAGCGCUUGAUGGUUUUUGCGACUGCACUUGAAGAAACAUUUAAAGUUCUUGAAAUGUUCUGUAUUGACUGACCAUGUCUUAAAGUAAUGAUGGACUGUAGUUUUUUCUCUUUGCUUAUUUGAGCUGUUCUUUCCAUAGCCCUAUUUGGUAAAAGACCAAGUCCAUACCUUCUUCUAUAUACCGCACCUACCAUGUCACAAUACAACUGAUUGGCUCAAACACAUUAAGAAGGAAAGAAAUUCCACAAAUUAACAAGGCACACCUGUUAAUUGAAAUGCAUUCCAGGUGACUACCUCAUGAAGCUGGUUGAGCGAAUGCCAAGAGUGUGCAAAGCUGUCAUCAAGGCAAAGGGUGGCUAUUUGAAGAAUCUCAAAUAUAAAAUAUAUUUGGAUUUGUUUACACUUGUUUGGUUACUACAUGAUUCCAUGUGUGCUACAUGAUUCCACUGAGAACUACCCAGUGACACGAGCCUACCAGACAAGCAAAAUAACACUGAAACAUGCAUGAGAGCGUCAGCUGUUCCGGCCGCCCCCAGGUGGUAAGGGUAGGUAACACAUCCGCCACGCUGAUCCUCAACACGGGGACCCCUCAGGAGUGCGUGCUCAGUCCACUCCUGUACUCCAUGUUCACUCAUGACUGCACAGCCAGGCACGACUCCAACACCAUCAUUAAGAUUGCUGAUGACACAGCAAGUGGUAGGCCUGAUCACCGACAACAACGAGACAGCCUAUAGGGAGGAGGUCAGAGACCUGACCAUGUGGUGCAAGGACAAAAACCUCUCCCUCAAUGUGAUCAAGACAAAAGGAGAUGAUUGUGGACUACAGGAAAAGGAGGACUGAGCAUGCCCCCAAUCUCAUCGACGGGGCUGUAGUGGAACAGGUUGAAAGCUUCAAGUCCGUUGGCGUCCACAUCACCAACAAACUAGAAUGGUCCAAACACACCAAGACAGUCGUGAAGAGGGCACGGCAAAACCUAUUCCCCCUCAGGAGACUGAAAAGAAUUUGCAUGGGUCCUCAGAUCCUCAAAAGGUUCUAUAGCUGCACCAUCGAAAGCAUCCUGACUGGUUGCAUCACUGCCUGGUAUGGCAACCGCUCGGCCUCCGACCGCAAGGCACUACAGAGGGUAGUGCAUACGGCCCAGGACAUCACUGGGGCCAAGCUCCCUGCCAUCCAGGACCUCUAUACCAGGCGGUGUCAGAGGAAGGCCCUAACAAUUGUCAGACUCCUGCCACCCUCGUCAGACUGUUCCCUCUGCUAUCGCACGGCAAGCGGUACCAAAGCACCAAGUCUAGGUCCAAGAGGCUUCUAAACAGCUUCUCCUGAACAGCUAAUCAAAUGGUUACCCAGACUAUUUGCAUUGCCCCCCCCCCUACACUUCUGCUACUCUUAAUAACUCUUACCUACAUAUUACCUCAAUUACCUCGACACCGGUGCUCCUGCACAUAGACUCUGUACCGGUACCCCCUGUAUAUAGCCUCCACAUAGACUCUGUACCGGUACCCCCUGUAUAUAGCCUCCACAUAGACUCUGUACCGGUACCCCCUGUAUAUAGCCUCCACAUUGACUCUGUACCGGUACCCCCUGUAUAUAGCCUCCACAUUGACUCUGUACCAGUACUCCCUGUAUAAAGCCCCGCUAUUGUUAUUUACUGCUGCUCUUUAAUUAUUUGUUAUUCUAAUCUAUUUUUUUUGUAUUUUCUUAAAACUGCAUUGUUGGUAUAGGGCUUGUAAGUAAGCAUUUCACUGUAAGGUCUACAGCAGUUGUAUUCGGCGCAUGAGACAAAUAAAAUUUGAUUUGGUUAUUUCAUAGUUUUGACAUCUUCACUAUUAUUCUACAAUGUAGAAAAUAGUACAAAUAAAGAAAAACCCUUGAAUGAGUAGGUGUUGUAAAACCUUUGACCGGUAGUGUACAUAUGAUUCUCAUGACUUCUUAUUUCCUUACAUCCUUUGGCUUAACAAGAUAAGAACAUGGCCCAUAUUCAUAAGGCACUCCAGUGUGGGGAUCAUCAUAACAAUGGACUGAUAAGAUUACAGAAACCUCUGUAGUGGGUAUGAAGGCUUUGUACAUAGUAACACAAUAAAAUAACAAUAAUGAGGCUAUCGAUCCUUUAGAUUAUUUAGCACAUUUUCUCUUACUUUGUUAAAACCCUGCAUUAUUGGUUAAGGGCUUGUAAGUAAGCAUUUAACGGUACGGCCUACACCUAUUGUAUUCGGCGCAUGUGAUCAAUAUAUUAUUUGAUUUUGAUUCGGCAUGGUAAUGUAAAGUCCAGUUACAUCCAGGGCAGGCUGUUGUUGUGGGUAAACAUAUUACGGACUCGUUUCUGACCCCAUGUGGACAGAGUCAUACUACACUAUCAUAAAUAAACACAAAAGAGCCAAAGGAAAGGGGGAUAACUAGCAGGUUGUACAACUGAAUGCAUUCAACUGAUAUGGGUCUUCCGAAUUCAACCCAACCCCUCUGAAUCAGAGAGGUGCGGGGGGCUGCCUUAAUAGACAUCCACGUCUCCAAGUGCAAGUUUCUUCCUGAAGUGCUUAACUCAGGUUUCCAUUUGGGUGCUUCAAAUGAUAUAGCACCAUCUUACAUGUAUUUAUUUAUGCUAGUGUCUAGAUCUCAGUAGCUGACAAACUCUUUCUACACACACCUGAACACAGGAAAUGUAGACGGGGAGCAAAUAUAACAUAUGCUAGAACCACCGCCAUCAGUCCAUACAUCAGUUCAUGGUCCUCUUAUAGGAACAAUGUCAACACCAGUCUUCUGGCAGGUAAGUUUCCCAAAAUUCCAACAUGUUCCAUUUCCAUCCUGUACCUGGGAUUUCUGGGAAACCUGGGCAUUUUGGAAAGGUUUAAUUUUGCAACCCUAUUGGAUACUAGUCCCUUGGACUCUCUCAGACACAAAUCUCUAUAAAUUCUAAAUCCUCCCGGUAGAUACACAACAAUCAUUAGAAUGAGACAUAACUGUUUCUGCACGCUACAAUAGUAAAUCACGGCCUCAUUCCCUGAAUCUAACCUGCACCAUAAACAAGAGACACACUACACACUGAAAGCUGAACGGAUGCUUUCACACACACACACACACA
This is a long non-coding RNA of Oncorhynchus tshawytscha (Chinook salmon), 5653 nucleotides long. NCBI's taxonomy places the organism in Eukaryota, Metazoa, Chordata, Actinopteri, Salmoniformes, Salmonidae. The record is from Ensembl.